UUCGACGGGGACGUAAUGACGGUACCCGUAGAAGAAGCUCCGGCUAACUUCGUGCCAGCAGCCGCGGUAAUACGAAGGGGGCUAGCGUUGUUCGGAAUUACUGGGCGUAAAGCGCGCGCAGGCGGCUAUCCAAGUCAGUGGUGAAAGCCCGGAGCUCAACUCCGGAACUGCCAUUGAAACUGUUUAGCUUGAGGACGAGAGAGGUGAGUGGAAUUCCCAGUGUAGAGGUGAAAUUCGUAGAUAUUGGGAAGAACACCGGUGGCGAAGGCGGCUCACUGGCUCGUUUCUGACGCUCAGGCGCGAUAGCGUGGGGAUCAAACAGGAUUAGAUACCCUGGUAGUCCACGCCGUAAACGAUGAUUGCUAGCCGUUGGGCAGCUUGCUGUUCAGUGGCGCAGCUAACGCAUUAAGCAAUCCGCCUGGGGAGUACGGCCGCAAGGUUGAAACUCAAAGGAAUUGACGGGGGCCCGCACAAGCGGUGGAGCAUGUGGUUUAAUUCGACGCAACGCGCAGAACCUUACCAGGGUUUGACAUCCUGCGACCGCUCUCUAACAGGAGUUUUCCCGCAAGGGACGCAGAGACAGGUGCUGCAUGGCUGUCGUCAGCUCGUGUCGU
RNAcentral lists this ribosomal RNA (614 nucleotides) under uncultured Alphaproteobacteria bacterium. RNAcentral describes it as "bacterial SSU rRNA". It matches the Rfam family "Bacterial small subunit ribosomal RNA", at positions 435 to 1068 of the family's 1533-position model. The record is from RNAcentral. Lineage: Bacteria; Pseudomonadati; Pseudomonadota; Alphaproteobacteria.